CCUACGUGUGGCAGCAGUGAGGAAUAUUGGUCAAUGGACGGAAGUCUGAACCAGCCAUGCCGCGUGCAGGAAGACGGCUCUAUGAGUUGUAAACUGCUUUUGUACUAGGGUAAACCUGAAUACGUGUAUUCAGCUGAACGUACUGUACGAAUCCGGAUCGGCUAACUCCGUGCCAGCAGCCGCGGUAAUACGGAGGAUCCAAGCGUUAUCCGGAUUUAUUGGGUUUAAAGGGUGCGGAGGGGGAUGUAUCAGUUCGAGGUGAAAAGUCCGAGCCUAACUCGGGGAAUGACUCUAAUACUGUUGAUCUAGAGAGUAGGUGCGGUAGGCGGAAUGUAUGGUGUAGCGGUGAAAUGCUUAGAGAUCAUACAGAACACCGAUUGCGAAGGCAGCUUACCAAUCUAUAUCUGACGUUGAGGCACGAAAGCGUGGGGAGCAAACAGGAUUAGAUACCCCAGUAGUC
This 460-nucleotide ribosomal RNA is filed under the name uncultured bacterium. Its description in RNAcentral is "partial 16S ribosomal RNA". It matches the Rfam family "Bacterial small subunit ribosomal RNA", at positions 338 to 795 of the family's 1533-position model. The record is from RNAcentral.